This 465-nucleotide ribosomal RNA is filed under the name uncultured bacterium. RNAcentral's name for it is "partial 16S ribosomal RNA". It matches the Rfam family "Bacterial small subunit ribosomal RNA", at positions 28 to 507 of the family's 1533-position model. The record is from RNAcentral.
GACGAACGCUGGCGGCGUGCUUAACACAUGCAAGUCGAACGGAAAGGCCCUGCUUGCAGGGUACUCGAGUGGCGAACGGGCGAGUAACACGUGGGUGAUCUGCCCUGCACUUCGGGGUAAGCCUGGGAAACUGGGUCUAAUACCGGAUAGGAGCCAUUUUUAGUGUGAUGGUUGGAAAGUUUUUUCGGUGUAGGAUGAGCUCGCGGCCUAUCAGCUUGUUGGUGGGGUAAUGGCCUACCAAGGCGGCGACGGGUAGCCGGCCUGAGAGGGUGGACGGCCACAUUGGGACUGAGAUACGGCCCAGACUCCUACGGGAGGCAGCAGUGGGGAAUAUUGCACAAUGGGCGCAAGCCUGAUGCAGCGACGCCGCGUGGGGGAUGACGGCCUUCGGGUUGUAAACUCCUUUCGCUAGGGACGAAGCUUUUUGUGACGGUACCUAGAUAAGAAGCACCGGCUAACUACGUG